AGACAGAGGAGGCGAGCGUUGUUCGGAAUCACUGGGCUUAAAGCGGGUGUAGGCGGCCGCGCAAGUGCUCUGUGAAAGCCCCCGGCUCAACCGGGGAACCGCAGGGCAAACUGUGCGGCUUGAGCUCGGUAGAGGUGCCUGGAACUCUAGGUGGAGCGGUGAAAUGCGUAGAUAUCUAGAGGAACGCCGGUGGCGAAAGCGGGGCACUGGGCCGAUGCUGACGCUGAGACCCGAAAGCGUGGGGAGCAAACAGGAUUAGAAACCCCAGUAGUCC
Molecule: ribosomal RNA, 274 nt
Filed under: uncultured bacterium
Lineage: Bacteria
Description: partial 16S ribosomal RNA
Rfam family: Bacterial small subunit ribosomal RNA
Source: RNAcentral